UUGCAUUCUAAUGUGCAAGCCGUCUCUAAGUUAGAGUCCCAAUUGAGUCAAUUAGCAAGCACGUUGUGUGAGCGAGAAAAGAACAAGUUCCCGAGCCAACCCGAGGUAAACCCGAAAUUUCCUCUUAAUCAAAGACCCCCGGAUAAUGUGCAUUCGGUCAUUUCUCUUAGGUCGGGUAAACAAGUUGAUACCCAAGUUGGUGAGAACCUCGG
RNAcentral lists this long non-coding RNA (212 nucleotides) under Daucus carota (carrot). RNAcentral's name for it is "long non-coding RNA (DCAR_LNC004094)". The record is from RNAcentral. Lineage: Eukaryota; Viridiplantae; Streptophyta; Magnoliopsida; Apiales; Apiaceae.